Molecule: ribosomal RNA, 484 nt
Filed under: uncultured bacterium
Lineage: Bacteria
Description: partial 16S ribosomal RNA
Rfam family: Bacterial small subunit ribosomal RNA
Source: RNAcentral
AUUGAACGCUGGCGGCAGGCCUAACACAUGCAAGUCGAGCGGAUGAAGGGAGCUUGCUCCUGGAUUCAGCGGCGGACGGGUGAGUAAUGCCUAGGAAUCUGCCUGGUAGUGGGGGAUAACGUCCGGAAACGGGCGCUAAUACCGCAUACGUCCUGAGGGAGAAAGUGGGGGAUCUUCGGACCUCACGCUAUCAGAUGAGCCUAGGUCGGAUUAGCUAGUUGGUGGGGUAAAGGCCUACCAAGGCGACGAUCCGUAACUGGUCUGAGAGGAUGAUCAGUCACACUGGAACUGAGAAACGGUCCAGACUCCUACGGGAGGCAGCAGUGGGGAAUAUUGGACAAGGGGCGAAAGCCUGAUCCAGCCAUGCCGCGUGUGUGAAGAAGGCCUUCGGAUUGUAAAGCACUUUAAGUUGGGAGGAAGGGCAGUAAGUUAAUACCUUGCUGUUUUGACGUUACCAACAGAAUAAGCACCGGCUAACUUCGUG